Molecule: non-coding RNA, 47 nt
Organism: Ixodes scapularis (black-legged tick)
Lineage: Eukaryota; Metazoa; Arthropoda; Arachnida; Ixodida; Ixodidae
Source: Rfam
CAAACGGCCUUUCUGAAGGCCAAUGCAUAUUUGCAUUGAAGAUGCCG